AUGGACCACUCGUACACUCCGGUUCCUGCGUGCCUUCCAGACUCACCUGACGACUGCUUGCUACGUCUUUGUUAGCC
RNAcentral lists this small RNA (77 nucleotides) under Xanthomonas sp. NCPPB 1560. RNAcentral's name for it is "sX9 sRNA". It matches the Rfam family "Xanthomonas sRNA sX9". The record is from RNAcentral. Lineage: Bacteria; Pseudomonadati; Pseudomonadota; Gammaproteobacteria; Lysobacterales; Lysobacteraceae. RNAcentral also lists the same sequence under 4 other names.